CUACGGGUUGCAGCAGUGGGGAAUAUUGCACAAUGGGGGAAACCCUGAUGCAGCAGCGCCGCGUGGAGGAUGACGCAUUUCGGUGUGUAAACUCCUUUUAUAUAGGAAGAUAAUGACGGUACUAUAUGAAUAAGCACCGGCUAACUCCGUGCCAGCAGCCGCGGUAAUACGGAGGGUGCAAGCGUUACUCGGAAUCACUGGGCGUAAAGCGCGCGCAGGCGGCCCCUUAAGUUGGAUGUGAAAGCCUACGGCUUAACCGUAGAACUGCAUCCAAAACUGAGGGGCUAGAGUCUGGGAGGGGAAGAUGGAAUUAGUUGUGUAGGGGUAAAAUCCGUAGAGAUAACUAGGAAUACCAAAAGCGAAGGCGAUCUUCUGGAACAGUACUGACGCUGAGGCGCGAAAGCGUGGGGAGCAAACAGGAUUAGAUACCCUUGUAGUC
RNAcentral lists this ribosomal RNA (439 nucleotides) under uncultured bacterium. RNAcentral describes it as "partial 16S ribosomal RNA". It matches the Rfam family "Bacterial small subunit ribosomal RNA", at positions 339 to 795 of the family's 1533-position model. The record is from RNAcentral.